GACGAACGCUGGCGGCGUGCCUAAUACAUGCAAGUAGAACGCACAGUUUAUACCGUAGCUUGCUACACCAUAGACUGUGAGUUGCGAACGGGUGAGUAACGCGUAGGUAACCUGCCUGGUAGCGGGGGAUAACUAUUGGAAACGAUAGCUAAUACCGCAUAAUAUUAAUUAUUGCAUGAUAAUUAAUUGAAAGGUGCAAUUGCACCACUACCAGAUGGACCUGCGUUGUAUUAGCUAGUAGGUGAGGUAACGGCUCACCUAGGCGACGAUACAUAGCCGACCUGAGAGGGUGAUCGGCCACACUGGGACUGAGAAACGGCCCAGACUCCUACGGGAGGCAGCAGUAGGGAAUCUUCGGCAAUGGACGAAAGUCUGACCGAGCAACGCCGCGUGAGUGAAGAAGGUUUUCGGAUCGUAAAGCUCUGUUGUAAGAGAAGAACGGGUGUGAGAGUGGAAAGUUCACACUGUGACGGUAUCUGACCAGAAAGGGACGGCUAACUACGUG
RNAcentral lists this ribosomal RNA (505 nucleotides) under uncultured bacterium. RNAcentral describes it as "partial 16S ribosomal RNA". It matches the Rfam family "Bacterial small subunit ribosomal RNA", at positions 28 to 507 of the family's 1533-position model. The record is from RNAcentral.